Molecule: long non-coding RNA, 687 nt
Filed under: Mus pahari (shrew mouse)
Lineage: Eukaryota; Metazoa; Chordata; Mammalia; Rodentia; Muridae
Description: lncRNA (MGP_PahariEiJ_G0004195.1)
Source: RNAcentral
CACACACCCCAGUGGGGAUUCAGAAGAUGGCUCUAUGGGUGGAGGGUGGAUGAACACAGAGCUUUGUCCACACGGCUCCCCAUCCCUCCCUCCUGGGACUCUUCUUUGCCAAUUCCUCAAAGCAAGACCAAAUACCAAAUCCACUGCAAAUGCCAGAUUGAAACCAAAACUAAACAGCACAAAGGACUCCUGAGGCCCCUCCCCUCCCUGAGGACCUACUGGUGGCUAAUGGUUGGGGGAGGGAUCAUUUUCUCUAGUGUUUCAGCCACUGGUGGGCUGUACAUGGUCCAGUAAGUAACCUCCCACCCUUGCUCCUGUGGUGAAACCCAGUGGGUCACACAAGAAAAACAAGUUAAAUUUAAAUCAUUUCAAAGGAGCUGGUGAGAUAAAUCCACAAGUAAAGUUAUUUCCACAUAAGCCCGACAAGAAUUCAACCCCCAGAACCCACACAAGGCCAAGAGAGCGCAGCAGCUCACAUCUGUAAUCCCAGCAUUCCAAGGGGAGAUGGCAGGUGGGGACAGGUGCUGUCCUGGAGUGACAGUAGCCAAUCGUAAGGAGGAAAGAGAAGACCUACUCCUAAAAAUGACCCUCUGACCUCCACAGGCAUGGUGUGACCCAUGUGCACGCAAACACACGCACACACACAUGCACACACACACACACGGAAUAAAAACAUUUUAAACAUAA